AUUGAACGCUGGCGGCAUGCCUUACACAUGCAAGUCGAACGGCAGCACGGGUGCUUGCACCUGGUGGCGAGUGGCGAACGGGUGAGUAAUACAUCGGAACAUGUCCUGUAGUGGGGGAUAGCCCGGCGAAAGCCGGAUUAAUACCGCAUACGAUCUACGGAUGAAAGCGGGGGCCCUUCGGGCCUCGCGCUAUAGGGUUGGCCGAUGGCUGAUUAGCUAGUUGGUGGGGUAAAGGCCUACCAAGGCGACGAUCAGUAGCUGGUCUGAGAGGACGACCAGCCACACUGGGACUGAGACACGGCCCAGACUCCCACGGGAGGCAGCAGUGGGGAAUUUUGGACAAUGGGCGAAAGCCUGAUCCAGCAAUGCCGCGUGUGUGAAGAAGGCCUUCGGGUUGUAAAGCACUUUUGUCCGGAAAGAAAUCCUUGGCCCUAAUACGGUCGGGGGAUGACGGUACCGGAAGAAUAAGCACCGGCUAACUACGUG
RNAcentral lists this ribosomal RNA (486 nucleotides) under uncultured bacterium. Its description in RNAcentral is "partial 16S ribosomal RNA". It matches the Rfam family "Bacterial small subunit ribosomal RNA", at positions 30 to 507 of the family's 1533-position model. The record is from RNAcentral.